GAAGCUCUAUACCUGCACUAGCAUAACGCUGUAGCUGAGUUAAGACCACCUGCCAGGAGCAUCACGCGACACCAGCCAUCUUCUGGCCAAAGCUGAGCUCUGACAGCCAAUUCAGAAGGCUCAGAAUGUGCAAAAUAUUAUUUGAAUGGGUACCUGAAACCAUGCUGUGUUGCUUCUCAGUAAGGAGACCUGAAGCAUUCCAGAAGUAAGAAUGUCAAUGUUCAUUUCAAGUGGUUGAACAAAAACUUCAAGACUGCACUCACUGACUCUGGAGUGGUCUCCUGCACUACAUGUAAAGAGCAGCACGUAGGAGUGCACAAUUUCAAAACAAAAAUGUGAGUUUUCAAAUUGGGAAGAGGUCCUGUGUACAGGAAUGAGGAAGAUGCAGAUAAGUUUUCUGGUUUGUUUGAUCAGGAAAGCUCCUUCCAUUCUUAUUCCAGUGUUGGCAGAUGCUUAAGUCUGUGACUCUCAUGUUCCAGAUCACUUUUCUAAAUGCUAAAUCAUAAAUCUCCAGAAGAAGUUUUGUACUUACCAGACUAAAUAUCUUCUAAAACAAAUUAUUAAUGAAAAAAGCUCUCUUUGCAGAACACCCAGUUUUGUCAAAAGGACAAUAUUUUACUAAAAGCACAUUGAAGAUACUUUGGCUAGCUUUUACUAGUCAAACUUCUAAAUGAAAAGGGUAAACAUAUCAGAAGUUACGAUGAUGGUCAGGAUCAAAGCAUGAAAUAACAUCUUACAAACAGUUUAUCAACUUUCACACAAUGAAUCUGCUCUAUGUUUGCAUUUGUGAGAUGGCAAAAUUGAGGUUAUUGUAUUGAUCACUAAUCAUAAGAAGCUGAGCUUGUUAUUUUACAGAAUCUUCAUUUUUACUGGUUUCAGCUGAAAAAAAUUGCACAUAUUUGACUAAUUAAAUAACAAGAAGACAUUACGUCUGGUAAUAUUUAGUUAAUUAAUAACAACAUAUUUGGUUAAUUAAGUCGGAAGGGCAAGGCAUAUAGGAAAGCAAACAUUUCAUUUUGUAUUUGGGAGGCUGAAGAAGCUUUGAGUCAUUAUGCUGAAUAUUAUUUGCCAGAUUCCUUGUUAUUAUCUAUCACCCUUGUUAUGAAGUCAAUAAACUAAACUUACACUAACCAAAGAUCUAAUCGUCAUAUUAUAAGGAAAAAGAUUAAUAUGUAUAAUUAUAGAACAUCAAGCUGCUUUUUCAGAGUAAACCAUUCACAUUUGUUCUCUCUGUUCCUGACUAAAAUAUCUUCCCACUUUGUGUCUUACAGUGUUAAUUGCCUAUCCUCUUUAUUUUUAGCCUUUUAUUAUUUUCAUCUAUGUUUACAUGGAAAAUCUGAAG
This is a long non-coding RNA of Harpia harpyja (harpy eagle), 1342 nucleotides long. RefSeq lists it as uncharacterized. The transcript is spliced from 3 exons. The record is from RefSeq and is a predicted model, not a curated record. Lineage: Eukaryota; Metazoa; Chordata; Aves; Accipitriformes; Accipitridae.